UUCCCCUUCGGGGGACAGGGUGACAGGUGGUGCAUGGUUGUCGUCAGCUCGUGUCGUGAGAUGUUGGGUUAAGUCCCGCAACGAGCGCAACCCUCGACCUUAGUUGCCAGCAUUCAGUUGGGCACUCUAAGGUGACUGCCGGCUAAAAGUCGGAGGAAGGUGGGGAUGACGUCAAAUCGUCAUGCCCCUUAUGACCUGGGCUACACACGUGCUACAAUGGGCGGUACAAAGGGUCGCGAACCCGCGAGGGGGAGCCAAUCCCAAAAAGCCGCUCUCAGUUCGGAUUGCAGGCUGCAACUCGCCUGCAUGAAGCCGGAAUCGCUAGUAAUCGCGGAUCAGCAUGCCGCGGUGAAUACGUUCCCGGGCCUU
Molecule: ribosomal RNA, 369 nt
Filed under: uncultured Anoxybacillus sp.
Lineage: Bacteria; Bacillati; Bacillota; Bacilli; Caryophanales; Anoxybacillaceae
Description: bacterial SSU rRNA
Rfam family: Bacterial small subunit ribosomal RNA
Source: RNAcentral